RNAcentral lists this ribosomal RNA (294 nucleotides) under uncultured bacterium. Its description in RNAcentral is "partial 16S ribosomal RNA". It matches the Rfam family "Bacterial small subunit ribosomal RNA", at positions 506 to 799 of the family's 1533-position model. The record is from RNAcentral.
UGCCAGCCGCCGCGGUAAUACGUAGGGUGCGAGCGUUAAUCGGAAUUACUGGGCGUAAAGCGUGCGUAGGUGGUUCGUUAAGUCUGCCGUGAAAGCCCCGGGCUCAACCUGGGAAUGGCGGUGGAUACUGGCGGACUAGAGUGCGGUAGAGGGUGGUGGAAUUCCCGGUGUAGCAGUGAAAUGCGUAGAGAUCGGGAGGAACAUCUGUGGCGAAGGCGGCCACCUGGACCAGCACUGACACUGAGGCACGAAAGCGUGGGGAGCAAACAGGAUUAGAUACCCUGGUAGUCCACG